This 513-nucleotide ribosomal RNA is filed under the name uncultured bacterium. RNAcentral's name for it is "partial 16S ribosomal RNA". It matches the Rfam family "Bacterial small subunit ribosomal RNA", at positions 28 to 523 of the family's 1533-position model. The record is from RNAcentral.
GACGAACGCUGGCGGCAUGCCUAAUACAUGCAAGUCGAGCGAACAGAUGAAGUGCUUGCACUUCUGACGUUAGCGGCGAACGGGUGAGUAACACGUAAGGAAUCUACCUAUAAGCGGGGGAUAACAUUCGGAAACGGGUGCUAAUACCGCAUAAUAUCUUCUUCCGCAUGGAAGAAGAUUGAAAGACGGCUCUGCUGUCACUUAUAGAUGACCUUGCGGUGCAUUAGUUAGUUGGUGGGGUAACGGCCUACCAAGACGAUGAUGCAUAGCCGACCUGAGAGGGUGAUCGGCCACAUUGGGACUGAGACACGGCCCAAACUCCUACGGGAGGCAGCAGUAGGGAAUCUUCCGCAAUGGGCGAAAGCCUGACGGAGCAAUGCCGCGUGAGUGAAGAAGGCCUUCGGGUCGUAAAACUCUGUUAUAAGAGAAGAACAAAUUGUAGAGUAACUGCUACAGUCUUGACGGUAUCUUAUCAGAAAGCCACGGCUAACUACGUGCCAGCCGCCGCCGUAA